Molecule: long non-coding RNA, 2372 nt
Filed under: Canis lupus familiaris (dog)
Lineage: Eukaryota; Metazoa; Chordata; Mammalia; Carnivora; Canidae
Description: lncRNA (ENSCAFG00000051959.1, ENSCAFG00845026821.1)
Source: RNAcentral
UGAUGUGAAAUCUUCUCUCUGCAUUUUGGCCCCAGCAUCCUUAAUUUCAAAGCUUUAUUCUGUCUGCCUGAGAGAAUCAACUGAGGGUGGUUCUCCCUAAAGAACAGAAAAGGAUCUGUCAGGUUAGAAGGACCCAAGUUUGGGGUGUAAAAUGUUGUCUGCUUCCUAUUCAUCUAGACUGACUUACUAACAUACCUAUGCUCAGUGGACUUUUAUAGACAGUUUAGAAAAAACGACUGAGCCUUCUUCCCCCAUGCUAUCACCAGUUCGACCAGAAUGGAACUGGGCUUUUAGAGCAUAUCUAGAAAGCUUGGUUAAUCUUUUCAUAUUCAUAGUAUUGAAUCACAAAUGCUGUUCCCUCUUGGCCUCAGUUCUGUGCAACUAAGUGAUGAGCAAAGGGCACAUAAUAUGCUCUGAAAAGAGUAGCAAAGCAUGCUUUGCCUACUCUUCCCAUACCAGGAAAUCCUUUUGGAACUAGAUUAGCAUUGCCUUCUCUGUCUGAGAGGAUGGUUUACAUGACAGCUCCAGCCUCCUGCAGCUUUUGCAGGCUGGCCUUCUCAGAGUCAGCAUGUUGUUUCCAUAAUCAUUUUGAUAUUUUAACUCAGGUACCCCAAUCUUCACUCCAUCCCCAGAUGAUUGUAGUACAACCUGUUAGCUCUGUUGACCUCUCAAAAUUAGUGCCCAAAGCAGGGACCACAGAGAUGAAUUUUCUAUUAAAAAAAUAAUUGGAACCAAUUCAUGUUCAGGCCAAAAACAAAUUGUUGCCAUGCCUAUGUAUUUUAAAUGUUAAUUUUGCCUAAAAAUAUUGCAGUGACUUUAGGCGGGAGUGCCAAAGGCCACCAUGACCUUGUCAAACUAGCAUAGUUUCUCCUAACCUUCUGCCCUAGCUUAAUCACUAAGAAUAGGGAAGAGAGCCCCACAAAGUUACCAAAAAGAGGCUCUAGCCGCCAUCCUCUGGCUUUUCUAAGAACCUUUGAGUCCCCUAAACUGUGUAGAGGCUACUAACUUUUGUGGGCACUAGAAGUCACUGUGAUGAUAGAUUGAAAUUGUUUCCAUUUGCUAUGGGACAAUUUCUAUCAAAGGAAGGUUUUUGCCUCUGGACAGGCCCCUGCGCUCCCAGCCAAACAGGCCAUGCUAACCGCCCACCAUCCUCUCUCAAACUGUCUUAGGAAGGAGCUUCAGGCUAGGUCAGUCACAGUAAUGGCUUUCCAGCUGUCUUGUCCUUUGAUUCUUCACCAGGCCUGACAGUUGUCUGCAUUUAAUGCUAUUUGUAACCAUGCAUCUGUGUUCAUGCCUUCCCCCACUUCUCGCUGCCCACACCUGUUGCCUUUGUGUUUCUCUGCAUUGUGGCUGUUCCUGGGUUCUGGUCUAUUCAAAGCUCUUCUAUAGCCUCACUCUAAUGGUUGUUUAACAAUUGUUCUGUGAGCGGACAUUUCCCCUUGCUUUAAUGCUUCUUCUCUUUUAAAGACUACGUGCAUUCCCUUUGAAAUGAAGCAUUCCUGGAUUACCUGUUAGUGCUGGUGCUUGAGGCUGGCUGUGGUAGCCUGGGCGACUCUGUUCAGGUUGUAGAAUAACUAAUAUUUUACCUUUUUUUUAUGACUCAAUUGAAGGGCACUUCUGUCUGCUCCGAUUUUAAUUCCUUGAUAUAUACCCAGUGCAUCCUAGCAAGGAAGGCUUUCUACUCCACUGGCUCCUUCAGAAGCAAAAGUACGUUAAAUUUUACACUUCACUGACUGGGGUCUUCUUUCUCCCCUGUAUCCCCUUCACCCAACUGAAGUAAAAAGCUGAGACCAAGAAGAACACUGGGAUCAAGCCUUCCUUGCUAGCCAUGCCCUAAUAAUGAGCAUAUUUUUAUGUGGUCUCCACUGCAUUUGGUUUUGUUUCUGACUUCAUAUUCCUUUGAGGUACAGUCAGAGGAAAUGCUGAAUUCCAAGUAAGCUCCAGUGAGGAGCUACCUUUCAGCUUUGGGAAAUACUGCAUCCAAAACAAAACCAAAAACUAUAAUCAAUAAAUUGACACAGGCAAAAUUAUGGUUCCCACCCCCACAUGAAACGGGACGUUUUGAAUGUGGCUCUAAGAGUGAACAUUUCUGUCUGUGUGUUGUGUACGCUAGGUGAUGCCCUCAGCAGGACUGACUACUAGACUGUAAGUGUGUUUUAUCAAAGUGUGUCAGAAUAAAAACUCACUUGCACGAAUUGAAAAGUACAGAAAUGACACUUGUGAACGCGUGAACGUUAACACUGUAGUUGAUAGAUCUUAAGCUGCUAAUUGUUGAGAGAGAAUUACAUUUAUGUUUUGUCUGGUUGCUGCAUAUUCUCAGCAGCACUUUUACUGUACAUACAAAUUGAAAUAAAGACCUCAGCUAUUAACGA